This 484-nucleotide ribosomal RNA is filed under the name uncultured bacterium. RNAcentral describes it as "partial 16S ribosomal RNA". It matches the Rfam family "Bacterial small subunit ribosomal RNA", at positions 28 to 523 of the family's 1533-position model. The record is from RNAcentral.
GACGAACGCUGGCGGCGUGCUUAACACAUGCAAGUCGAACGAUGAAGCCGGAGCUUGCUCUGGUGAAUUAGUGGCGAACGGGUGAGUAACACGUGAGUAACCUGCCCUUGACUCUGGGAUAACUGCUAGAAAUGGUAGUUAAUACCGGAUACGACCCUCGGAGACAUCCCCAGGGGGUGGAAAGAAUUUCGGUCAAGGAUGGACUCGCGGCCUAUCAGCUAGUUGGUGAGGUAACGGCUCACCAAGGCGACGAAGGGUAGCCGGCCGGAGAGGGUGACCGGCCACACUGGGACUGAGACACGGCCCAGACUCCUACGGGAGGCAGCAGUGGGGAAUAUUGCACAAUGGGCGCAAGCCUGAUGCAGCAACGCCGCGUGAGGGAUGACGGCCUUCGGGUUGUAAACCUCUUUUAGUAGGGAAGAAGCGAAAGUGACGGUACCUGCAGAAAAAGCACCGGCUAACUACGUGCCAGCCGCCGCGGUAA